This 842-nucleotide long non-coding RNA is filed under the name Homo sapiens (human). Its description in RNAcentral is "non-protein coding lnc-IRF2BP2-7:1". Lineage: Eukaryota; Metazoa; Chordata; Mammalia; Primates; Hominidae. The record is from RNAcentral.
GUGAGUUGUGAAGACGAGGGGCUCAGUCUUCCGAUUCAUGCAAAGGGUUGAUGUGACAUUUUCAGAGCCUAGUUCUAGCUUCAUUGUGCUGGAAAGUGGUCUUGGCCUGAGGACAGCAGGGUGCUUCAGAGUCCAGUCUGAUGCCCUUUGGCAGCCACACACCCUCCUGUGAAGGCACCACAAAUUCCUUGGGAGGGAGACGCGUUCCAGAUGUGUAUGCCGCCUCUAGAGAAAACGUGGCUUCUUCUGGUGAGCCACAUGCAAGGUGUCUCGCUGGCCACUGUGAAGUGGGGAGAGACGCCUGGAGCAAGCCAUGAUCUCUGCCAGCACUGGAAUCACCAACAUCCUUGAGCUUCCUUCAGUCUGAUGCAGAACCUGAGGACGUGGCCAUCUCUUGGUGGUGUUCUGGGAAAGCAGGAAGUCUUCAGACCUGAUUGUCUUCAGAUUUCAGCCAUGGGCUCCCUGGUGAGCCAUCUCAGGGGUAUAGGAAACAUGGAUGCCGCCCCGGAGUGGAACUGAGCAACAUCCUCCAAGUUUGUCCACUCUCCGAGUGUCUUAACUGCCCCCGGUAGAGAGGCAUUUAGCAAACAGAAACAGAUUACAGAGACCCUCGUGGCCACAUGCAAUUUGCAGUUGCUCUCAAGAGUGGGUGUGGUCACUUGUUGUUCCCUUUAGCCAUCAUAUCAGCUGCCUGGGUGAGGGGUCAGUGUGCCAAACGUUCCUGGUGGGAAAUGACUUGGUUUCCCAUAUGAGCCCCGACCUUCACUGGCCUCUCCCUCUUAGAACUCCCAUUAACCACCAUGUGUGCUGGUCACUGCAGCUGUGCCCAGAAAAAGACAAUG